Molecule: unclassified non-coding RNA, 329 nt
Filed under: Hevea brasiliensis (rubber tree)
Lineage: Eukaryota; Viridiplantae; Streptophyta; Magnoliopsida; Malpighiales; Euphorbiaceae
Source: RNAcentral
UUCCCCAUGGCCCUCUCCCCUUUUUCCCUUCCCCCGUUGCUUUCCCUCUCCCCUCCAUUUUUUAGCGAAGGCAGUUCAUCGCUGACCAAAGAUACAGCAAGCGAUGCAAACGAAGGUGGACGAGGUGCAGAACGGGCGGUGGUGGCAGCAGCAACAUCUUCACAGGGAGAGAGAAAAAAAGUGACCAAAACCUUGGAGGGUCGUUCCAGUCAUUUCCGACGCUGGACAGGGGUUAGUCCGGCAGUGACUAGCUCCUUUCGACUCCAGCUCUCUUUUGCGACCCACGAAGUCCUGUUUCAUGGCAAUUUCCGGUGAGGAUGAGAGAGAGA